ACGUUCACUGUUAUUAUUGUCGCCGCGUUUUCGUUGCUCCUGUCAUUUCACAUCGUUUUUGACAAACGUCACAUAAAACGCGAGUAAGAGUUUUUUGUGACUUUUGACCAAAUCGAACGAAAUUUGUGAUAUUUUUCUAAUAAUCCUUUUAUUUAUUUUUUUUUUUAAUUUGGAUAAAAACCAACAAAAAUUAUGUUCCUAACCGUGAAUACCGUUGAAAUGUGUAUUUAAAAUAAAAAAAAAUCAAUUACUCGAUGAUAGCUAAGAAUACAAUUUUUGGAUUUCACAAAUGUGAACCAGAAAAAUGCCACUGAAACUUUCCAGCAAAAUAUAGCAAAAAAAAAAAAAUAAAAUAAAAUAAAUAAAAAAAAUAAAAAAAAUUAAAAAAAAAAAAAAAAAACAAGAAUUCUAGAUUGUCUCGCAAUUAGAAAUUUAUGGUGUCGCGUAUUUGUGGUUCGUCGGUUGAAAACAUUGUCGUCGUCGUCGUUGCCGUUGCCGUCAUCAUUGUCGUUGUCGUUGCCAUUGUUGUGCUUUAUAGAGAAGUCGGUGUCGGUAUCAUUGUUUGCAUUGUUGUUAUUAUUCUAGUGCUGCUGGUGUUUGCCUACAGCCUGGGUGUUGAAAUAGGAGCCGUUCGCUGUAACUAGUAGCCACCACGCGCGCUUUGUGGUUAUUCUAAGUGGAAUCACUGUGAUGCUAUACACGCAUUAUUACAAAACCUGUGCAGAAUUGCAUACGCAUGCAUGAUAUAUACAUAUAUAUACACAUAUAUACGUCAUAUACGUUCACGUACAAUUGCUUACACGUUUGUAUGCGAGUAAUCUAUACAUCAAUGGGAAAGAAAGAGUGAGUUGCAUUUAAUUUAAUCUUAAAAUGAUGAGUAACCUUUGCAACAACCUUGUCGGUUGUCUCUGAAUGAUGACAACAAUAGCAUAUAUAUAUAUGUGUGUGUUUGUGUUUAAAUGCUUCAGACUUUCACUCAUAUGCAAAUAAGACGAAAUAACAUUUUGCUACUGCAUGCCAUUCACUAUACAUUAUGGAUAUCAACAGGUUCUCGGAAAAUGGUAAUUAAGUGGUAAAGUAAAACCGAAAACAAAGGUUACAUUUCCAGCAUCACAGAGAAACUGUGAUAAAAUGUAAUGUAAUCUAAAUACGGAGAAUAGGACGUAUAAUGCCGCUAAACUAGCAACGUUUGUAUACGAUAUAAUUACAUCAUUAAAAACAACAACAGCAACAAAUAGCAUCAGCUAUAGUAACAUAAAACAACAUCAAAUUAAGAAGAAAUUGGACAUUUUGGAUGAAAGAAAGGCCCGAACAUGGAAUUAUGACAACGACUUCAAUUUGCAUCUUUUUUCUUAACAUUAAAAAAAAGAAAAAGAUAUAUGAAAAUAUAACAACAACAACAA
Molecule: long non-coding RNA, 1403 nt
Organism: Glossina fuscipes
Lineage: Eukaryota; Metazoa; Arthropoda; Insecta; Diptera; Glossinidae
Exons: 4
Source: RefSeq, a predicted model, not a curated record